Molecule: unclassified non-coding RNA, 302 nt
Filed under: Hevea brasiliensis (rubber tree)
Lineage: Eukaryota; Viridiplantae; Streptophyta; Magnoliopsida; Malpighiales; Euphorbiaceae
Source: RNAcentral
GUUGGACAAUUAUGAGAUUCAAAUGUUGUACAGAUACUGGUCUAGGAGAUAUCAAAGAGGACAGCCCUAAUAUUGUGUUGGUGGUGCUCUACUGCUGUGUUGACUUUGCCAAUGUCUUAAUCUGGAUGAAAACCUAAAAGCCUAAAGAAUCCAGACUGUCCAGACAAGGAGUUCAACUUAAACUUGAGAUAUGAUUCAUUUGCCAACUACAGCGAAUCUUGUGAUAUCCAAAAUUGCUUGAAUAGGAUCCUAAUGGCUAGGCAAUCUUAAAAUUGGUUGCCAUAGGUCCAGGCAAGUUCGGA